AUUGAACGCUGGCGGCAGGCCUAACACAUGCAAGUCGAGCGGAUGAAGGGAGCUUGCUCCUGGAUUCAGCGGCGGACGGGUGAGUAAUGCCUAGGAAUCUGCCUGGUAGUGGGGGAUAACGUCCGGAAACGGGCGCUAAUACCGCAUACGUCCUGAGGGAGAAAGUGGGGGAUCUUCGGACCUCACGCUAUCAGAUGAGCCUAGGUCGGAUUAGCUAGUUGGUGGGGUAAAGGCCUACCAAGGCGACGAUCCGUAACUGGUCUGAGAGGAUGAUCAGUCACACUGGAAAUGAGACACGGUCCAGACUCCUACGGGAGGCAGAAGUGGGGAAUAUUGGACAAAGGGCGAAAGCCUGAUCCAGACAUGCCGCGUGUGUGAAGAAGGUCUUCGGAUUGUAAAGCACUUUAAGUUGGGAGGAAGGGCAGUAAGUUAAUACCUUGCUGUUUUGACGUUACCAACAGAAUAAGCACCGGCUAACUUCGUG
Molecule: ribosomal RNA, 484 nt
Filed under: uncultured bacterium
Lineage: Bacteria
Description: partial 16S ribosomal RNA
Rfam family: Bacterial small subunit ribosomal RNA
Source: RNAcentral